Oreochromis aureus is the source of this 3569-nucleotide long non-coding RNA. NCBI's taxonomy places the organism in Eukaryota, Metazoa, Chordata, Actinopteri, Cichliformes, Cichlidae. The record is from Ensembl.
UUAGGAAAACUUGAACAAAAUACAAUCUUUAUUCAUUAUAUACAGUACAUACAAUGCAAUACUACAAGGCUUUCUACACAUUCACUGUAAUCCAGAGUAGUGCUCACUGAUCGUAGAGUACCAGCUUUAAAACUCCUGAGUCCCACCCAAAGAAAGACACAAAGAAAAGUCGUAUUUGGCAUUGUGUGUUCUUACAAAGGUGCUUUGAAUUAGUCUCGAACACAAAGCUAAUGCUACAGCCAGUGUGGUGAGCCCUACGUGUUAUCAAAAUGUCAUCAUUUUUUUAAAUUCUUCUCAUUUCUCCUCCUCCGAAACACAUUAGCACACAAAAAGAACAUUUAAUAGUGUAGACUGUUACACUUCCUCAGUAUGUGAAUUUAGGCCACUUCUGCUGAUCCCUGCUACCUGUCUGAAAGAUUAGUAAUACAUGAAUAUAUGGAGAAACAGAGCAUCUCCAUCCUGGGAAAGGUUUUAUAGAAGGAAUAAAAGAGUGAACAGUGAGGUGUCUUGGCUGAAAUAACUGGAUACAAAUUCCACACAUGUGAGAUUUGUAGGUGGUGUGUUGAUGUCAGAAGCUCAAAGGAUCACACCUCUGUUUGUUCAUUAACGUGACCACAUACACAGUAGGCCAUUUGUUACAAACCAUACAUAGUUAAAGAACAGCUGACACAAAGUGUGGAGGGAAGCAGCAGCUCGGCUGGUCUGUCCAAACACUCAAAGACGAAAUGAUGAAAACUUUGUCUUGUUUGUUUAAUCUGUAAAGCCAAACAUCAACUUUCAGGCCUGAAGCAUCAAUUCAAUGAAGAACUGCCAAUAAAAUGUAGUUGUUUGGAGGCUGCCUCCACACACCCGCCAUUGUUCAUCUCUACAGCACUGAAAAGCUCUGGCCUCUACACUUUCCUCCAUGACAACAUAGCUCAUCCCAGGGGUCUACUGGUGAGGCUGAGUUAGGGGCUUAGCUGCCUAACAGGUGCCCUGACACCACUUUUGCAUUUUAUGCUUUAAAAAAAAAAAAAAAAAAAAAAAAAUGCGGCACUAAUGCUCCAAAUAAAUUUCCAAACUCCAUCUCUGUGUGGUGGCUCAGUGGCUACGUUCUUAUGGGCAAACACUUAUUACGGUUGUACAGGAGCUAUGUGCGCACAUUAAUAUUAUCCAUUUACUGCACCUUGUUGAAGUUUCCUACCAUUAUGGUUGCCAGGCAACCAGAAAACUAUGCUGACUAUGUUAACAGUUACACAAAGCUUGUAAGUGUUGCUGCUAAGUGAAGCUAGCUUCCUGUUAGCAGCGCAUCACUAUCAAUAACUGUCAAGUGUAGUGCACAGUGUAGGGUGGUGUCAAUGCUCUGAGCCAAUCAAAGAUACACUGCUGAAAAUAUCACUGCUGUGACUGACAGUAACAUCGUCAUAGCAGCAGGAAUUCAAUAGAAGCAGUUAGUUGCAUCUCGUGUUAUCAUCACACUGUUUGAAGGUCGGGAACUUUAUGGGGCAAAAACACAGGUGGUGGUCGAGUGUGCUAGAAUUUUACUCUCUACUCUCAUUUUAAGAACCUGAUCAUGGAAUGAAUUUGAUUUCUUCAUAUUUUAAAUACACAUUUUGGAGCUACAAAAGAAAAUCGAGCAGUUGAUGGACUGAAGACAAAAUCCAGGUCUUUGUAAGUUUGAAGCACAAACAGGAAGCAGCAACACGGCCGCGGAUUUUUGAUGCAUCAGCUGACUAACAGGUCUCCAACACUAGGCCCCAUAGCUUAGAAAAAUUCAAUUAUGGAAGUUUAUUAAAAAAAAUAAAAAACAAACAAAAAAACUUCUUAAGGUUCUUUAAUUUCAAAAUAGGAGCAUUAUCUAUAAUUCAUGUGUCCGAUGAAUGAAAUGUGAUUCAGUUGGCAUCUUUGAUUCAAACUAUGAGGAAAAGAGUGUGAAACAUAAAUUUGGGCUGCGUUACACGGCUGUAAGAGAAUCCACUCUUUUGUUGAACUGUGCUGAAUGUUCUUUGAAUCUCCCAGGAAGAAGUCUGUUCAAGUAUAGCACACACUCGACGAACGGGGUGCGAGAGUCCCAGCAGCUGCGUCGGGGUGACUGCGUCUUAGUGUUCUAAUGCAUCAGUUAUCAGAAACAAGGCAUUGGAAGAAAUAUUUGUUGCUUUCAGUGAUCAAUGAAUGCCAGCAGGACUGAAGUGAACACGUUUCCUGUGAAAUACAAUCAGUGAGAGUCUGACUCAGUCAGGGAAGACGGCAAACAGCAAAGCUAGUGGGGAGUAAGCACCUGCAUGAAACACGGAUCCCUCAGAGUAAGAUGGUGACAGAGAAACUGCAGCUACCGCAGCCAAACUACUGCUACACAUAUGCAGCUAACCUGACCUUUGACAUCCUCCAAAAGCAUUUUAUCCAAACUUCCCAGCUCAAUGUUUUCCUUCCUUCUGUGAGCUUACAAUCAGGUCUGUGUUACACAUGGUUGAUAGGAAAGUCUCAGGUGUGUAAUAAAAAUAAGCUGAAGAUCAACUUUUACAAACUGGAAAUGUCUCCAUGAUCUGAUGAUGCGCCUGUUUGUUAGCAGUGUGAUCAGGAGGUACAGCAGCACCUAAAACCACAGCAGCCUCUGAUCAGGAAGAUUGUGUGUGUUCAUGACAACAAAGGAAGUUAAAAGGUGGGAAAGUUGACCCCAGCAGGUAAACAUUAUUUUGCCAUCGGACCAAUCAGCAUGCAUUUAUGUCACAGACUGUGCUGGAACCUGAAAGAGAAGUUGUAAAGGCCCUAAAGAACAGGGUGCCCAAUGGGAUCGUUUCCAGCUGUCGUGUGCCCGGUGAGUUUAACCUCAAAGAGUUAAUAACUGCAGCACAUCCAGGUCAAUCACAGGAGUUCAAUCAACAGAAGAUUAAUUAGCGAUACCAGUUUGUGCUUCUUUUUUUUUUUAAGUUGCUCUCCAAUUUCUUGGGCGGAGCCAGCAGCUCAUUGGUUACACGAUGAGAUUAGUCAUGAAAAUCACAACUGUAGCCCAGCUGAGUUAUUAUUAGCGCUGUCAGCUCGAUAACCCAGAGUUUUAUAUUCAACACAAUGUUGGUCCUGUUAUAACGGUCACAGAUUACAAGCUGGAUGUUCCAUGACUGUAUAUGAUGAAGUGGGGCUGACUGAUAAUAAGACCAGAGUUUCAUCCACUACAUCAUCCCACUGAAGGACCAUGCUGCCAAACUGAAAACACCUUUAGCUGCUCUGCAAAGAUCAAACUGGAUAACUGGCACCAGCACCUCGCUCACACGUCUCGUUUAAACUCUUUAAUAAGUAAGUGCUAAAUGUAGAGCCACAAAGUUACUGGACCCGAUGGUUUUUUUGUUUUUGACGUUUUUUGAUAAGGAGGGGGGAGAAAGAGCAUGACCUGACACAAGUCCAGGACACUUGGAGCAAAUUCCUAUAUGUAUAUUUACAUAUUCUGUACAUCCACUCAGAAUUAAAUGACAGUCCAAUAAUUUAACUGUUAUCAGCCAGUUUUACAGGGAUAGCAACCAAAAAAUAUAUAUAUAUAUAUAUAUAUAUAUAUAUAUAUAUAUAUAUAUAUAUAUAUAUAUAUAUAUAUAUAUAUA